This 435-nucleotide ribosomal RNA is filed under the name Uduba sp. CG301. RNAcentral's name for it is "partial 16S ribosomal RNA". Lineage: Eukaryota; Metazoa; Arthropoda; Arachnida; Araneae; Udubidae. The record is from RNAcentral.
UUCUAUAAGACAUUAUUUAUAGUAAAAUCUGCUCAAUGAUAUUUUAAUAGCCGCCAUUCGUGCUAAGGUAGUAAAAUAAUUAGUCUUUUAAUUGAAGACCAUUCAAAUGAUUCAACAUUUAAAUUAUUUUUUUUUUUAAAAAACUUAAAUUUUUUCUAAAUGUAAAAAGACAUUUAUAUAAUAGAAAGACGAUAAGACCCUAUUGAAUUUUACUUCAGUUUAACUGGGGAAGUUAAUUAAAAAUCACUUUAAUUCUAAUUUUUUCUUAAAGGACCUAUUAAAAUUAAUUAAAUGAACAAAUUACCAUAGGGAUAACAGCGUUAUUAUUUUUAAAGAUCUUAUUUUUAAAUAAAAUUGCGACCUCGAUGUUGAAUAAUAUUCUUUCCUACGCAAUAGUUUGUAUAAGAAAGUCUGUUCGACUUUUAAUAAAUUACA